Molecule: ribosomal RNA, 253 nt
Filed under: uncultured bacterium
Lineage: Bacteria
Description: partial 16S ribosomal RNA
Rfam family: Bacterial small subunit ribosomal RNA
Source: RNAcentral
UACGGAGGGUGCAAGCGUUAAUCGGAAUUACUGGGCGUAAAGCGCACGCAGGUGGCUGAGUCAGUCGAUUGUGAAAGCCCUGGGCUUAACCUGGGAAUUGCAGUCGAUACUACUCAGCUAGAGUAUGGGAGAGGGUAGUGGAAUUCCCGGUGUAGCGGUGAAAUGCGCAGAUAUCAGGAAGAACACCGAUGGCGAAGGCAGCUCUCUGGGACGGUACUGACGCUGAGACGCGAAAGCGUGGGGAGCGAACAGG